This 433-nucleotide ribosomal RNA is filed under the name uncultured bacterium. RNAcentral describes it as "partial 16S ribosomal RNA". It matches the Rfam family "Bacterial small subunit ribosomal RNA", at positions 29 to 507 of the family's 1533-position model. The record is from RNAcentral.
AACGAACGCUGGCGGCAUGCCUAACACAUGCAAGUCGAACGAAACCUUCGGGUCUAGUGGCGCACGGUUGCGUAACGCGUGGGAACCUUCCCUUAGGUUCGGCAUACCUCCCCGAAAGGGGUGCUAAUACCGGAUAAUGUCUUCUGACCAAAGAUUUAUCGCCUUUGGAUGGUCCCGCGUUGGAUUAGCUAGUUGGUAGGGUAAAAGCCUACCAAGGCGACGAUCCAUAGCUGGUAUGAGAGGAUGAUCAGCAACACUGGGACUGAGACCCGGCCCAGAAUCCUACGGGAGGCAGGAGUGGGGAAUAGUGGAAAAUGGGCGAAAGGCUGAAGCAGCAAUGAUGGGUGAGUGAUGAAGGUAUGAGGGUUGUAAAGCGUUUUUAACCGGGAUGAUAAUGACAGUACCGGGAGAAUAAGCCACGGCUAACUCCGUG